AUGCCAAACACCUGUGAUGUUGGGCACUCUCAACGACGUAUCUGUGAUGUUGGGCACUCUCAACGACGUGUCUGUGAUGUUGGGCAGUCUCAAGGACGCUUGUAUGCCUGGUGGAUAGAUAAUUCUCGUGAUUGCCAACUCUAUAUUUGGGUCCUUGAGGAUUAUGAUACUGGAAAGUGGACCCUAAAGCACACUGUUAACGUUUUGGAGCUGUUUGGAAGGAAUUGCCGUAAAGAUGGAGAUUCCUAUGUGAUGUUUGCAAUUCAUCCGGAUUGCAACAACAUUUUUCUUACUGACAAGAAGAACAUGACAUUGUCGUAUGACAUGGAUAAUCAGAAAGUGCAUGUUAUCUGCACUGAAGGCAUGAAGGGUCUGCCUUAUACUCCCUGUUUUGCGGAAUUGCCCUCAGCUGGUCACUGA
RNAcentral lists this ribosomal RNA (420 nucleotides) under Triticum aestivum (bread wheat). RNAcentral describes it as "partial small subunit ribosomal RNA". Lineage: Eukaryota; Viridiplantae; Streptophyta; Magnoliopsida; Poales; Poaceae. The record is from RNAcentral.